GUGGGGAAUCUUCCACAAUGGACGAAAGUCUGAUGGAGCAACGCCGCGUGAGUGAAGAAGGGUUUCGGCUCGUAAAGCUCUGUUGUCGGGGACGAAUGUGCAGUAUUUGAAUAAAGUACUGCAAUGACGGUACCUGACGAGGAAGCCACGGCUAACUACGUGCCAGCAGCCGCGGUAAUACGUAGGUGGCAAGCGUUGUCCGGAAUUAUUGGGCGUAAAGGGAGCGCAGGCGGGAAGGUAAGUCGGUCUUAAAAGUGCGGGGCUCAACCCCGUGAUGGUAGCGAAACUAUCUUUCUUGAGUGCAGGAGAGGAAAGUGGAAUUCCUAGUGUAGCGGUGAAAUGCGUAGAUAUUAGGAAGAACACCAGUGGCGAAGGCGACUUUCUGGACGAAAACUGACGCUGAGGCGCGAAAGCCGGGGGAGCGAACGGUAUUAGAAACCCCGGUAGUCC
This 450-nucleotide ribosomal RNA is filed under the name uncultured bacterium. Its description in RNAcentral is "partial 16S ribosomal RNA". It matches the Rfam family "Bacterial small subunit ribosomal RNA", at positions 354 to 796 of the family's 1533-position model. The record is from RNAcentral.